This 468-nucleotide ribosomal RNA is filed under the name Staphylococcus pseudintermedius. RNAcentral describes it as "bacterial SSU rRNA". It matches the Rfam family "Bacterial small subunit ribosomal RNA", at positions 21 to 472 of the family's 1533-position model. The record is from RNAcentral. Lineage: Bacteria; Bacillati; Bacillota; Bacilli; Caryophanales; Staphylococcaceae.
GGCUCAGGAUGAACGCUGGCGGCGUGCCUAAUACAUGCAAGUCGAGCGAACAGAUAAGGAGCUUGCUCCUUUGACGUUAGCGGCGGACGGGUGAGUAACACGUGGGUAACCUACCUAUAAGACUGGAAUAACUCCGGGAAACCGGGGCUAAUGCCGGAUAACAUGUUGAACCGCAUGGUUCUACAGUGAAAGACGGUCUUGCUGUCACUUAUAGAUGGACCCGCGCCGUAUUAGCUAGUUGGUGGGGUAACGGCCUACCAAGGCGACGAUACGUAGCCGACCUGAGAGGGUGAUCGGCCACACUGGAACUGAGACACGGUCCAGACUCCUACGGGAGGCAGCAGUAGGGAAUCUUCCGCAAUGGGCGAAAGCCUGACGGAGCAACGCCGCGUGAGUGAUGAAGGUCUUCGGAUCGUAAAGCUCUGUUGUUAGGGAAGAACAAAUGUNUAAGUAACUGUGCACAUCUGA